GAGCCAGCUUUGACAACCCCCUCGGGUCCCCUUCCACAGUGUGGAAGCUUUGUUAUUUCGCUCUUUGCAAUAAAUCUUGCUACUGCUCACUCUUUGGGUCCACGCUACUUUUAUGAGCUGUAACACCCACCGUGAAGAUCUGCAGCUUCACUCCUGAGCCCAACGAGCCCACGAGCCCACUGGGAGGAACCAACAACUCCAGACGUGCUGCCUUAAGAGCUGUAACACUCACCGUGAAGGUCUGCAGCUUCACCCCUGAGCCAGUGAGACCACGAACCCACCAGAAGGAAGAAACUCCAAACACAUCUGAACAUCAGAAGGGACAGACUCCAGACGCGCCACUUUAAGAGCUGUAACACUCACCGCGAGGGUCCGCGGCUUCAUUCUUGAAGUCAGUGAGACCAAGAACCCACCCAUUCCGGACACACCAUCAUCAUGUAAGGCACUAACAACAGGAGAAGCUGGGUGAAAGAAUCUAUGUCACAGUGAUUGAUUUACUGCAUAUGAGCAGAAUGAACCUGGACCUGGCCAGUAUCAUUAAGGGUCUCACUUCAUCACCUAGACUGGAGUACAGUAGCACAGUUGCAGCUUCCUACAUCUUGACUUCCUGGGUUCCAGUGAUCCUCCCCCUUCAGCCUCUCAGCAGAGAGAGAAAGAAAGCAGAGCUCUUUGAAGCAGAGAAAGAAAGCAGAAAGCAGAGAUCUUUGAAGGCUUAAGAAACCAUAAGGAGUUUUGGAGAGUCAAUGCAUGAUGAUCUCUGAAGAUUCUACUGAAAUCUAAUCAAUAUGUCCUCACUGCCAUCAAUUCAAAAGAACUUGCUAAGAAGGCUCUAGAGGCUUGUACUCUCAGAUAGUGAAAGUGAGAUGAUGUGUAGUGAAAGUCAUAUAUAGGUUGUAAAUUGCAAUAUGGAAUUCCCAAAUGCUGAAUUCAUUUUAUCUCUUCGGAAAUAAAAACCUGUUAAAGACUCAUU
RNAcentral lists this long non-coding RNA (970 nucleotides) under Homo sapiens (human). RNAcentral's name for it is "HSALNT0085701". The record is from RNAcentral. Lineage: Eukaryota; Metazoa; Chordata; Mammalia; Primates; Hominidae.